AUGGUCUCGGAACAGCUUCGUGAAUAUGAGUUGAAGCAAAGCAAGAAGAAGUUGAGGUUUGAAAGUGAAUCAAAAGAGUUUGCAGAGAAGGAGAAGCAGAGGAGAGCUGCAGAUGGUGCCAAGGGUGCUAAAUUUGCCAAGGUGAAGAAGCCUUCUUUGCAGAAGAAGAGGCUGAGUACUGUUGCUGAGGAAGGUGGUACACCUCGGCGGAGUCCACGUGUUGCUGGCAUGAACAAUAAUCUUGGCAAGAGAACUGCUGAAGCUGGUGGAAAGGAUGAUCCUUAAGGAAGAAGUCUAGUAAGAGCAAUGCAGCUGAAGAUGAUGCUGAGGGAGAUGAUUCUCGAUUUAACAAGACCCGGCCAUGAUGACUCGUUGAGUGCCCUCAAGGAUGAUCUUGGCUUUGACCGUUCAAAAAUUAUAGGUGUCAAAGACUUGCUUGAGAAGUUGAAGGUGUUGGUGGAGGAAGAUGAUCAUGUGACUGUUGACCCUGCUGUGAAGGUGUUCUUCCUGAUACUCUACCAGAAUUUGAUGUGCCCCGGGCCUGCAGUUCGUUUGGGUAGAGUUGCUGCAAAGGUAGAAAACAUGGAUUAUGCGGCUAUGGCUCAGAUGGACUUUUGCCAGCUAGUUGUUGAUGAGUUGCAGGCAGCUGUAGUGAGGUGGCAAACAGAAGGCAGGAAGCAGAAUUGUGCAGAGGGUUGUGCCAUUGUCCCCCUGAUUAUGUAUCUUGACUGCUUGAAGCUUCGCAAAUUUUCAGUCAUGCACACGUUGACGCCACGUGCGUCAUACCUGACGACCAAGGACCUGAUGAAGUUAUACAAUGAGGAUGUGCUUGUGAAGGGAAAGAUUUACUUGGAAACUUACAAAUUUGGGAAGCUGCCGUGGAAGGCGUCAGGUGAUAUUGUGUACAACAGUCCUGUUGCAGUUGUAUGCGGCAGCUCUGAUGGGGGACCUAGCACUCAUGCUAGGUUUUAUGAGCCUACAUGUAGCCAGCUUCCUGCCUGUGAUGAUGAGGUGCCGCGUACUCGUGGUUUCAUGGCUCGACAAAUGUUUGAUAAUAGAAUCUCUUCUAAACAGACAUUUGUUGGCGGCAAAAAACAUGAGGAGAUUGAUGAGCUUCUUCUAAAGGUUUUGAAGUUGACUGAAGAUUUGCCAACCUCUGGUGACAGGUUGAGGACAGUUGCUGGUUUUUUCCCUGUUGGCCAUGGCCCACGAGAUGAAGAUAUUGUUGCUGCUCACAAUUUUGAUUGUGGCGUGAUUGAAAGCCUGAAGAUUGCAGUGACGAAUGUUCAGUCUUCCUAUGCUCAAUUGAGACAUUCACAGGAGAAAAAAUGCGGUCGGUAUGAGAAGGAUGAUGGGCAUAUUUUGGAUGAAAUGAACCGUCAGGACGCUGGCGUUGGCGCUGAUAAUGCUGGAGUGGAAUCUUUUGGUGUCCAUGGAACAAGGGACGACGGAAUUUGUCAGACUGGUGUUGCUGCUUGUGAUGUGCACAAAGAGUCCUACGAUGGCUCUGGGAAGGAUGAGGUCUUGGCUGAUGCAUCGUCCCCUCCGAAUGUUGUAGCUGAUAAGGGUAGUUGCGCUGUUGAUGGUGGUGGCAGUGUUGGUGCUUCUGCAUCGGUUGCCGUCGACUGUGCAGACCCUUCUGUAGCUCAAGAAUUCCAUGAUGCUGUUUCCCCCAGCCAGCAUGAAGAUUCUGAUUUUGGCAUUGAAAAGCCGCUGGAGAAUGCCGUCCCUGCUGUUAGUGUUGUUGCUUCCCCUGUUUGUCUGGCGGCCAACGAUGUUCCUGAAGUAUCGAGAGUGGAGCCUCAUGUAGCUGAAGUAUCUGAGGACGUUGCGGUUGACCAGACUGUUGUAAAUCCAGAGAAUGCUGAUGUUGCUGCAGAAGGGCAGUCCAGUGAGGUUGUGGAGGAUUCAUCGCAAUCUGUCCAAGAAAAUGUUUUGGUCAGCUCUGAAGAACAACAGCAUGAAGACUCUGACACUGAAGGCGAGAGUUUUGUUUCGAACAGUACAGUUGCAGUUUUUCUCAUUUCAUUUUGUUUAAUUACUAUGUCGAGCAUUGAUCCAGCUCUUCUGAAAAGAUACAAUGAGUUGUACGCUUUUGUUACGAGGGUUCGGAAGGACAAGAAGAAGAAGGACAUGAUUGCUUUUAAAACUAAGAUGGGUGAUAUUACCAUUGGCGAAGUUGGUCAAUCCUUUUGGGAUAAAGGGAUGCUCAUUACAAGAGUUGUAGAUCUUGGGGUUUCUUUGCUGGUAGAUAAGUUUAAGGGAUCUCCGACAAUGGUUGUCCCGUACCAUAUUUGUAUAAAUAUUUGGAAUGGUGGUACUGUAGGCAGGAGUGUUAAAAUGAUGUUCUCUUCAAAAGCCGAGGAGCGUGUUGAUAAAAAGGAUAUGGUCCUUUUUGCAACUUUUGAUCCGCCAGAUAUGAGGGAUGGCGUUGGUCAUUAUUGUGUAGUUGCGUUAAAUGUGAAAGAAAGGCGGUUUGAAUUUCUGGACUCGCUCAAUAAACCUAGCAGCCCUGAUGCGAUCAGGGUUUUUAGGAGGAUGGUUAAAAAUAUCAAGCGUGCAUGGAAAGAAGGAAGCUCAAGUUCUGAUGAGCCGCUAAAUCCUCCUACACUUGAUGGAUUUGUGUUGAAACAUGUCAUUGUCCCAAUGCAGCCAAAUGGGCAUGAUUGUGGAUUUUAUAUGUUUCAAUUCUUGCAGACUUGGGAUGGUGUUCGAGUUGCUCAGUUUGGGGUGGAGCACAUUGGCUACAUCAGAAAGGCCAUGCUUUAUAGUUUUGAUGGGGGGCUUCAUGAAGGUUGUACGUCACUGUUCGAGUCCCAGGGUUCUGAGGUGGUUAUGGAGGAAUGUGCCAUUGAAAUCUCUCCAGAUAAUUAUGGUUCUUUGGCUGGAGAUGGUUUGAACACAGUUGUGGCGUCUGGACCUGAUGGUGGAAGUGUUUCUCGGCCUAGCUCUCCACACGAUGUAUUUGAUGUUGAUGAUGAUGAUUUUGUUACGCCGUGUCCUCGCGCCACUAGGGCUAGGAGUGCAGCAAUUAAUCGUCCUCGUGUGGAUGACGUUGAAAUAAUUUCGAACAAGAGGGAAGGUGAAAGGGCUUUUAAGUUGAGAUGCUCUAUAGAGAAAUUGAAGCCUCCGAGGUUCAAAUAUAUUGAUGAGGCGAGGAAAAUAAAGGAUCUUGUUCUCAGCAAAGAUUUUUUAACCAAAUACCAUGAGAAUGCGUUCUUUAUGGUGAAUAGUCCUUUUGGUGAUCUUGAUACUUACACUGUUGACUAUAUAUAUAAUACAUUUGGCAAAGGAGCUUUAAUGGAUUCGUAUCUCAUGGAUUUUGUCAUCAAGUACUGGAAGCAAGACCCUGAAAUGGGUUUAGUUUAUCAUUCUGGUGAACAUGUGCUACUUUCACCCUUAUUUAUCACGUAUGUUCUUCAGAUGGAAACCUUUGUGACGAGAGAUGAUGAAGGAAACCAUGUGUUGCCAGUUGUGCAUAGCCCGUUUGUUUUACAAGAUGCAGUUAACCAGUUCAAGGUUUUUGUGAUUGACGACAUAAACCUGUUGGAUGCAAAACUGAUGAGGAGGAUGACUCAGUUGCUGAAGGCUAUUUAUGGUGAAAAAAUGUAUAAAUCUAAGAACCACCCUGACUGGGUUAAAUUGGUGGAGAAGCCCUCUUACCCGGUCGUGCCAGCGCAGGGAGCAAAUGAGUGCGGAAUCUAUGUUCUGAGGUUGACGCAGUUGUAUGACGGCCAACAUUGGAAGGCGGAGUACAUGUUCCAGUUGCUGUUCAAUCCUUCGAACAUGUUGUGUUAUGAAGACAUGCCGCUUGAGCUACGAGAUCUGAUUGCGGACCUCGGGCUUACUUCCCUGUCGCAAUCGCAGACGCAGUAA
This 3876-nucleotide ribosomal RNA is filed under the name Triticum aestivum (bread wheat). RNAcentral describes it as "partial small subunit ribosomal RNA". The record is from RNAcentral. Lineage: Eukaryota; Viridiplantae; Streptophyta; Magnoliopsida; Poales; Poaceae.